UACGUAGGGUGCGAGCGUUAAUCGGAAUUACUGGGCGUAAAGCGUGCGCAGGCGGUCUGUUAAGACCGAUGUGAAAUCCCCGGGCUUAACCUGGGAACUGCAUUGGUGACUGGCAGGCUUUGAGUGUGGCAGAGGGAGGUAGAAUUCCACGUGUAGCAGUGAAAUGCGUAGAGAUGUGGAGGAAUACCGAUGGCGAAGCAGCCUCCUGGGCCAACACUGACGCUCAUGCACGAAAGCGUGGGGAGCAAACAGG
RNAcentral lists this ribosomal RNA (253 nucleotides) under uncultured bacterium. RNAcentral's name for it is "partial 16S ribosomal RNA". It matches the Rfam family "Bacterial small subunit ribosomal RNA", at positions 524 to 776 of the family's 1533-position model. The record is from RNAcentral.